Mumia flava is the source of this 129-nucleotide non-coding RNA. Lineage: Bacteria; Bacillati; Actinomycetota; Actinomycetes; Propionibacteriales; Nocardioidaceae. The record is from Rfam.
GUAUUGUGGGGACCACCUCCCUGAGAGGUGUUGGGCAGUAGCCAGCGUAACGGCUUGCACGCGAGAUCUAGACCCCUUCGUGCAAACACACUCAAGCAGCCGUUGCAGCAAGCCAAGCCACUUUUUUGG